UACGUAGGGUGCGAGCGUUGCCCGGAUUUAUUGGGCGUAAAGGGCGCGUAGGCGGCCACGCACGUCCGUUGUGAAAUCGCCCGGCUCAACUGGGCGGGGUCAGCGGAUACGGUGUGGCUCGAGCAAGCUAGGGGGCAAUGGAAUUCCCGGUGUAGCGGUGAAAUGCGCAGAUAUCGGGAGGAACACCGAUGGCGAAGGCAGGUCUCUGGGCCACUACUGACGCUGAGAAGCGAAAGCGUGGGGAGCGAACAGG
This 253-nucleotide ribosomal RNA is filed under the name uncultured bacterium. RNAcentral's name for it is "partial 16S ribosomal RNA". It matches the Rfam family "Bacterial small subunit ribosomal RNA", at positions 524 to 776 of the family's 1533-position model. The record is from RNAcentral.